This 415-nucleotide long non-coding RNA is filed under the name Malus domestica (apple). RNAcentral's name for it is "long non-coding RNA (MDOM_LNC017357)". The record is from RNAcentral. Lineage: Eukaryota; Viridiplantae; Streptophyta; Magnoliopsida; Rosales; Rosaceae.
CCUAGAAGCAAAGUUUUUAGAAUAUGUCUACAUGAACUCGUGUGUUGAUGAGCACUCGAAAUGAUAAGUUUAUUUGUGCAAAAAUAUGUGAUUACGAACGUCAUGUGUUUACAACGAAAGUUUCUGACAUAUUGCAUUUUUUAGAUACUACUGGCUCUGGUAAGUAUUUUCAUACUAUACGUAGUAUGUAUAUUUUGGAAACUAUACUUGUUUUACGAUGAGGGGUUAUUAUGUUUCAAAAAGGUUUUUACAAAGCUUUAUUUUUAGGCCCACCCACCCUUAUUUUUCGUCCCUUUAGGUUUAGCAGCUGAGCUUUCAUAUCGACGAGGAUUCUUGGAAAAUCUGGGUAUAGGAGGUUACCUUCAAUGGUAUAAUUCUCAAUCUACUCUACUGUACUGUACUUGUUCUCUGACAU